This 200-nucleotide long non-coding RNA is filed under the name Elaeis guineensis (African oil palm). Its description in RNAcentral is "long non-coding RNA (EGUI_LNC024557)". Lineage: Eukaryota; Viridiplantae; Streptophyta; Magnoliopsida; Arecales; Arecaceae. The record is from RNAcentral.
CUCCGAAGUUACCUGUGAAUCUCCCCUUCAGAUCUUACCACCGAACUGACCUUCUGCACUCUUCGAAACUUUUUCUGAUUCGACAGAAUGGUAGUUUUCAAUCUUGUUUGAGUAGAUGAGAAGUAUCAGGCUUUCAUCCGAUUUCCUGUAGAUUGGAUGAUGGAUAAACCAGUAAGGGUCUUGCCUAGGUUGAACAUGCA